This 86-nucleotide transfer RNA is filed under the name Asterophora parasitica. It matches the Rfam family "tRNA". From Rfam's summary of the family: Transfer RNA (tRNA) molecules are approximately 80 nucleotides in length. The record is from Rfam by way of RNAcentral. Lineage: Eukaryota; Fungi; Basidiomycota; Agaricomycetes; Agaricales; Lyophyllaceae.
CCGACCUUAGCUCAGUUGGAAGAGCGCAAGACUGUAAUGGAUAUAAUGACAUCUUGAUGUCGCCUGUUCGAGCCAGGCAGGUCGGA